UUUGAGUUUGAUCGUGGCUCAGAUUGAGGGGUUGCGGCAGGCUUAACACAUGCAAGUCGAGCGGUAGCACAAGGGAGCUUUGCUCCCUGGGUGACGAGCGGCGGACGGGUGAGUAAUGUCUGGGAAACUGCCUGAUGGAGGGGGAUAACUACUGGAAACGGUAGCUAAUACCGCAUAACGUCGCAAGACCAAAGAGGGGGACCUUCGGGCCUCUUGCCAUCAGAUGUGCCCAGAUGGGAUUAGCUAGUAGGUGGGGUAAUGGCUCACCUAGGCGACGAUCCCUAGCUGGUCUGAGAGGAUGACCAGCCACACUGGAACUGAGACACGGUCCAGACUCCUACGGGAGGCAGCAGUGGGGAAUAUUGCACAAUGGGCGCAAGCCUGAUGCAGCCAUGCCGCGUGUGUGAAGAAGGCCUUCGGGUUGUAAAGCACUUUCAGCGAGGAGGAAGGUGGUGAACUUAAUACGUUCAUCAAUUGACGUUACUCGCAGAAGAAGCACCGGCUAACUCCGUGCCAGCCGCCGCCGUAACACAA
RNAcentral lists this ribosomal RNA (534 nucleotides) under Serratia marcescens. RNAcentral describes it as "bacterial SSU rRNA". It matches the Rfam family "Bacterial small subunit ribosomal RNA", at positions 1 to 528 of the family's 1533-position model. The record is from RNAcentral. Lineage: Bacteria; Pseudomonadati; Pseudomonadota; Gammaproteobacteria; Enterobacterales; Yersiniaceae.